CAAAGAGACACAUCACUGGGUAUUUCCAGGGAUGUUCAUCUUAAAGAACAAGAUCUACCUGCAAACUGCUCUCCUCUACUAGCCUUAGUCUCCAGCUUCCUAACGAACAGCAAUGGCUCAACAGGGAACUUCCAGGUCUUCAGCAGAGCUUUGGGACUCUGGACACAUCUAACUUUGUGGAUUCAGCAGCUAUUAGAAAACAAAAGACUUUAAAAUCUAGGGACCCCGAAAGCAUAACUUGA
Mus musculus (house mouse) is the source of this 242-nucleotide long non-coding RNA. RefSeq annotates it as predicted gene, 38950. NCBI's taxonomy places the organism in Eukaryota, Metazoa, Chordata, Mammalia, Rodentia, Muridae. The record is from RefSeq and is a predicted model, not a curated record. The transcript is spliced from 3 exons.